Long non-coding RNA from Salvelinus fontinalis (brook trout), 682 nucleotides. RefSeq lists it as uncharacterized. NCBI's taxonomy places the organism in Eukaryota, Metazoa, Chordata, Actinopteri, Salmoniformes, Salmonidae. The transcript has 4 exons. The record is from RefSeq and is a predicted model, not a curated record.
CCUGUAGUAGUAGUUGAAGCCGGUGGUGUGAGUUACCUGCAGUAGUAGUUGAAGCAGGUGGUGUGAGUUACCUGUAGUAGUAGUUGAAGCAGGUGGUGUGAGUUACCUGUAGUAGUAGUUGAAGCCCGGUGGUGUGAGUUACCUGUUGAAGCCGGUGGUGUGAGUUGCCUGUAGUAGUAGUUGAAGCCGGUGGUGAGUUACCUGUUGAAGCCGGUUGUGUGAGUUACCUGUAGUAGUAGUUGAAGCCGGUGGUGUGAGUUACCUGUAGUAGUAGUUGAAGCCGGUGGUGUGAGUUACCUGUAGUAGUAGUUGAAGCCGGUGGUGUGAGUUGCCUGUAGUAGUAGUUGAAGCAGGUGGUGUGAGUUACCUGUAGUAGUAGUUGAAGCCGGUGGUGUGAGUUACCUGCAGUAGUAGUUGAAGCAGGUGGUGUGAGUUACCUGUAGUAGUAGUUGAAGCAGGUGGUGUGAGUUACCUGUAGUAGUAGUUGAAGCCGGUGGUGUGAGUUACCUGUAGUAGUAGUUGAAGCCGGUGGUGAGUUGCCUGUAGUAGUAGUUGAAGCAGGUGGUGUGAGUUACCUGUAGUAGCAGUUGAAGCCUGGUGGUGUGAGUUACCUGUAGUAGUAGUUGAAGCCGGUGGUGAGUUACCUGUAGUAGUAGUUGAAGCAGGUGGUGUGAGUUACCUG